GUCACCAUGGAGAUGUGUUGCUCCAUCUGAAGUGUCUCAGCUGUUUGUAGACUCCUUGGGGGUUACGCCAUGGGUGGCUACGAUUCUAGCUACUACGGCGAAUAAACGAGAUUGAAGAGAGAUAUUUUGCUUGGUCCUCUUUAACCCCCC
Molecule: long non-coding RNA, 150 nt
Organism: Haliotis rufescens (red abalone)
Lineage: Eukaryota; Metazoa; Mollusca; Gastropoda; Lepetellida; Haliotidae
Exons: 2
Source: RefSeq, a predicted model, not a curated record